UGUUGAUGGAACUAUGGGGAAAGAAAUUUUAUUCUAUAGGAUUUAGAGCCUUAGAGUUCAUUUAAUCUCUCUUCAUUUUACAGAUGGGGAAACUAAGGCCUCAAGAUUUGAGGUUAAUUGAUUUGGCUAAGCUCACACAGUAAUGUAAGAAGUAUUAGAGCUAGAAUGUAAGUCUAUCUUUUAAAAAAUGAAUUACAAAAAACAAUCGUAGCAAAUAUAACUAAGAGAGGGGCAAGUGAUGGUAGGAAUCAGAAAGAUCUGAAUUCAAGCCACUUUCUCAGUGUAACAGGUAACUCUUAAGAUGAUUAAUUGAAAAGCAAAUAACUUGCAUUAGUAAAGGAAAUGUUCUCAUCAGGAGUGAGUUGGUCAAUUAUCCAGUCAUCCAGUUACUAAAGAUUUAUUAUAUGGCAGGCAAUUGUGUUAAUCAAUAGUUCCUGUCCUUAAGAAGCUCACAAUCUAAAUGGGGAAAACAAGAAAGAAACUAAAAAUGAAGUGGGGAAGGGAAAGAAGGACUUGGUUCAAAGUAUGACAGAUGUCCAAAAGCAAUGAAGUCUGUGGAAAAUGAGAUGAUGACUGUCCUGGAAGUCCUCUCCUUCAAGGAAGGCUUGGAGCCCAUGGUUCCUCACUCCACUGAGAGGAUCCUCUCUGAAGGGCAGAGGAUGAUGAUGAGAUGCGAAGGUUCAUUGGAUCUUGCAGGAUGAUGAGCUUUUCCACUGAUGAGUUUUCUAGUACAUGAUAGUAGGUGGUAUGAUAUUAUGUAUGAUGGGUUAGUCCAAAGACAUACAAAAGCAGAAAAUGUCAGAGGAGGGAUUUUAACCAGUCCUUGGCUUGGAGGCUGGCACUCUUAUCUAUUAUAACAUGCUAUAUCUCUUAACUAUUUUAUAAAUGCAUGGGCAAUUAACCUUUCAGGAGGUUAAAUUCUCUCAAAGGGAACAAAAUUAAUUGUCUUUUAUGGUUAUGAGAAGAAUAAAUAUGGGGAAUAAUGAUAUUAGAAAAUAGCAUUAUUUAGGGCUGAUUUGUAGACUAAAAUAGAAUGGCAGUGCCAAAAUUAGUGGCUAAAAUACAUCAUGGAAUUUAUUAAAUUUACUUAGUAUGGAAGUUUCCCUUCAGGAUAUAAUUUUCUGAUCUCUGUGAUUAUAAAAAUUGGUUGGUAGGAAACAGGUAUUUGAGUUACCUACACCAGUGAAAUCAAAGGUCUAGGCCAAAAUAGAACAAUGUAAAAUUUGCUUUGCCACUACUAACAUUUAGAUAAAAUGAAUUUCUAGCCAUAAAAUGUGGUAACUUGGCAUCACGCCAAGACUUUAUCAAGAUUCUUUAUCUAUUCAUUUCCAU
This 1332-nucleotide long non-coding RNA is filed under the name Sarcophilus harrisii (Tasmanian devil). Its description in RNAcentral is "lncRNA (ENSSHAG00000031763.1)". The record is from RNAcentral. Lineage: Eukaryota; Metazoa; Chordata; Mammalia; Dasyuromorphia; Dasyuridae.